RNAcentral lists this transfer RNA (88 nucleotides) under subsurface metagenome. RNAcentral describes it as "tRNA-Ser". It matches the Rfam family "tRNA". Rfam says of the family: Transfer RNA (tRNA) molecules are approximately 80 nucleotides in length. Their secondary structure includes four short double-helical elements and three loops (D, anti-codon, and T loops). The record is from RNAcentral.
GGAGAGAUGGCAGAGUGGCUUAUUGCAAUCGUCUGCUAAGCGAUUAAGUCUAAGGGCUUCGUUGGUUCGAAUCCAACUCUCUUCGCCA